AUUUAUGUGUGAAUUUUUAAUAUAAAUGCUGGCAUUGUCCAGAAAAAUUUAACAGGUUAAUUUAUAAUUGUUAUAAAGUUGAACUGC
Long non-coding RNA from Mustela erminea (ermine), 87 nucleotides. RefSeq lists it as uncharacterized. The record is from RefSeq and is a predicted model, not a curated record. NCBI's taxonomy places the organism in Eukaryota, Metazoa, Chordata, Mammalia, Carnivora, Mustelidae. The transcript is spliced from 4 exons.